Molecule: microRNA, 23 nt
Filed under: Branchiostoma belcheri (Belcher's lancelet)
Lineage: Eukaryota; Metazoa; Chordata; Leptocardii; Amphioxiformes; Branchiostomatidae
Description: bbe-miR-2060a-3p
Source: miRBase by way of RNAcentral
GCACCAAGGACAGAUGUGUUUAC